UAUGAACCGUUAUAACCGGCGAUACCCGAAUGGGGAAACCCAGUGUGACUCGUCACACUAUCAUUAACUGAAUCCAUAGGUUAAUGAGGCGAACCGGGGGAACUGAAACAUCUAAGUACCCCGAGGAAAAGAAAUCAACCGAGAUUCCCCCAGUAGCGGCGAGCGAACGGGGAGGAGCCCAGAGCCUGAAUCAGCAUGUGUGUUAGUGGAAGCGUCUGGAAAGGCGCGCGAUACAGGGUGACAGCCCCGUACACAAAAGCGCAUGUGCUGUGAGCUCGAUGAGUAGGGCGGGACACGUGGUAUCCUGUCUGAAUAUGGGGGGACCAUCCUCCAAGGCUAAAUACUCCUGACUGACCGAUAGUGAACCAGUACCGUGAGGGAAAGGCGAAAAGAACCCCGGCGAGGGGAGUGAAAAAGAACCUGAAACCGUGUACGUACAAGCAGUGGGAGCACAGGUUUACCUGUGUGACUGCGUACCUUUUGUAUAAUGGGUCAGCGACUUAUAUUCUGUAGCAAGGUUAACCGAAUAGGGGAGCCGGAGGGAAACCGAGUCUUAAUUGGGCGUUAAGUUGCAGGGUAUAGACCCGAAACCCGGUGAUCUAGCCAUGGGCAGGUUGAAGGUUGGGUAACACUAACUGGAGGACCGAACCGACUAAUGUUGAAAAAUUAGCGGAUGACCUGUGGCUGGGGGUGAAAGGCCAAUCAAACCGGGAGAUAGCUGGUUCUCCCCGAAAGCUAUUUAGGUAGCGCCUCGUGAAUUCAUCUCCGGGGGUAGAGCACUGUUUCGGCUAGGGGGCCAUCCCGGCUUACCAACCCGAUGCAAACUGCGAAUACCGGAGAAUGUUAUCACGGGAGACACACGGCGGGUGCUAACGUCCGUCGUGAAGAGGGAAACAACCCAGACCGCCAGCUAAGGUCCCAAAGUCAUGGUUAAGUGGGAAACGAUGUGGGAAGGCCCAGACAGCCAGGAUGUUGGCUUAGAAGCAGCCAUCAUUUAAAGAAAGCGUAAUAGCUCACUGGUCGAGUCGGCCUGCGCGGAAGAUGUAACGGGGCUAAACCAUGCACCGAAGCUGCGGCAGCGACACUGUGUGUUGUUGGGUAGGGGAGCGUUCUGUAAGCCUGUGAAGGUGUGUCGUGAGGC
Molecule: ribosomal RNA, 1141 nt
Filed under: Salmonella enterica subsp. enterica serovar Enteritidis
Lineage: Bacteria; Pseudomonadati; Pseudomonadota; Gammaproteobacteria; Enterobacterales; Enterobacteriaceae
Description: partial 23S ribosomal RNA
Rfam family: Bacterial large subunit ribosomal RNA
Source: RNAcentral